UAAGAAGUCACGGAAGGACAAGAAAUUUGCAGGUUUUCCUUGCCAGGUUUGUGUCUUUGCCUAGGUGCUGCUCAGAGAGGGCUGACGGAUGGUGUGUGCCAGUGUGACGACACAGUCCCCAGGAAAGUUCCCUUUCCAGAACCAAAGAGAGCUGUAGCUAUGUGUGCCGUUACCUGUCUUCUGCAAGAGAUAAUGAACUUACUGGGCGUGUUUCAUGUCUUAUAAUUCACAAGUUCCCAGAAAGGUGAUUGCAAAUUCUUCCUGAAACAGGAGGUUCACAAAACCUUCUGUGCUUUGACAUGACUUAUGAGGUGGCAGAGCUGUGGAAAAACCUCACUGGAGGAUGUUUUGGAGCAGCCCUCUCCAGCUGAUCCUAGCUGUGGAGUGGUCCUGCAUUGCUGUCCUCUCCUUACAGCACAAGGGGAACCAGGCAGGGCUGGAGCAAGGACCAGCACUGUGAACUGAGCUGUGGGGCAGGGUUAAAGCUCCAGUUUCAUCUCAGACUCUUUGUCACUUCAGUUCUCCAACUGGAAAUAAGGAAUAAUGUGUUGCUAAAUGGAGUGCAAGUUGGAGAAAGAAGUCCAGGAGUGCUUGUGAAGCAGCCUGGUGCUGUGGCCGGGCUAGCCAAGUGCUCAGGGCCAUCGUGUGCCAGCGCACAGCUGGACAGCAGCAGGAGCCGGGAGCCAGCAGAGACCAUGGUGUUAUUAAAGCUGGGGUAUCAGUUCUGCAGCUCCCCAGCACUGCCAGCUUCGACAGAGGGCAGGAGGGAGCUCCCCUGAGGAGGAUCCCUAGUUCCUUUACGUUCUGUCUCGUACUGAGCGCUCUCUGGCACAUCAUUAACAGCCUUCCUUCACUACAGGAUCUUAGUGAUUAAAACCUCUUUAAUUACAUAAGGCCUCUUGAGAAAUAUUAUCUAAAAAAUUAGCAAAGAACAUCGGAAACUGAGUUACCUAGGCAGCUGAAAGGGUUUUUUUUAAAUCAAUCUAAAUAAGUAGUUAAGAGACCAGUUAAAAGUGGAAAUAACCUUUUGUCAAAUGUGAUAUUUUUAAGAUUUCAGAUUCCUGAUUAAUCAUCACUAAUUAAGAUAUUAAAAGAGCAAGAGCAUCUGGAUGCUUGUUUCUGUGCCUGAACUCUUCCAAAGAUGUGAUUGAUGUGUAUUUUUCCUGCACUGUUUUUAAUUUCUAUUUUAUUUCUCCAAUCUGACAGUCCACAAAUCUAAAAAAUUCUGGUCCUAGGAGUGGGAGAAAAUUGUGCACUAUUCUUUUUCACUUUUCAUCUUUUGUUGGAGUUUGGUUUUUCAGAACAUCUAAUUAAUUUCAGGUGUAGGUAGAACAUUGACAAGUGUAUGUGUUUGGGGUAUUUUGAAGGCCUUUAUUUUAAAGUGCCAUGUCCUUAUUCGUAGCCCUUCAUGCUAAGCCAGAUGGCAUUUAGAAAGGUUUCCAUCAUGCCUUUCUGGCCCAGUGGUAAACUUAGAGCAUCCCAAGGAACGAAAUAGUUAUGGAGCUGUAAAAGCGUAUGUAUCUUCUCUGAAAUAAGAGACCAACUACUUUCUGGAAAUAGAGACAAAGACAGUGACCAAAUCACUUGGCAGGUUUGCUAAGUCCAAAUCUGUAAUACUUUUCCUCAGUUAACAUUGUUAGACACGUUUUGACAUCUUGUUAUUAAUAUUAGUUGUCUGAAAAAAAGAGCUUAUGUUCCUGUACUUGAUGGACUGUCCAAGAAGGAGAAAAAGAUGCAGCAGACAAGUGGUUUGAAGGCACUUAAAGGUAUUUUUCAGAGCAGGCUCUUGUUUGUGUGAUGUGAAUGUAGACAUAGGAAAAGUGUGUGCAAACAGCGUCCUGCCAGUAGGCUGUGAUGAAGAUGUUAAAACAAAAUGGGAAUUUGACAGGGCACAACUGCUGGCUGCUGGAGUUAGAACCAAAGUUGGGAGGAAGCCAUUGAGGGCUGAGGAUUAACCCAGCUGCAGUGCAGCACACGGAGCACAGUGCCCUGUGUCCAUUCUGUCACUGGCUCGGAUGGUGUCACUGCAGAGAGGCUUUCCUCUUCUCCCUGGAUGUGUGUUGUGAAGAGCCUGCUGAAAAUCAGUAGAUGUGUGGAACAAGUGGGAUCCUGCAGUGAAGGAUCUGAGCCCUGGCAGUGCCAGCUUUGCCCAGAGAGGAGGGACUGCCACCCUGCAGUUCCCCACAGCAAGUUUCUGUCACUUGUGCCAACUUGUUCACUGCUAAUGAGCACAUCUGGGAGCAGAACAAAGGUUUCCAAACACUGAUGUGAAGGAAAUUGGUUUGAUAGACAAACACUUGCAACAAAUAGUUUAUAUUUUUUUUCCCUAGAAUUUGCUCUUUUUCUGCUUUGUAUUUUAGUUCCUCCCAAGAAGUAUUACCUACAGUACAAAAUGGUUACUAGUCUUUUUUUUAUGCUUCAUCUUCUCAGCUAUUUUUUCCUCAUACUUUUAGAUGGAGAGAGACUGCAAUUUAUACUAUGGGAUUUGCUUCUCCUUGUUUUAUUUUUACUUCAUUUUUUAGGGGCCUUACCCAUUCAUAUGUGUGCAGUAAAACUUUAUUUCUUUCCAAAGAACAAGUCCCCAUAUUAUAAGCAGUAAGAGUUUGUACUUGCUUAGCCACUUUAAUAUUAAACUUUGCAGUACUUUAUAGGUCCCAGUUAAUUAAGUUCUGUAGAAGUGCUGUUACAGCAUAGGCAGGGACAGGUGAAUUGAUAAACAGAGUGGAAGCAUGGUUUCCCUAAAUUCAUAAUGGGAUGAAGUCAGCCUUGUGAAGGUUUUUUUAGCCUCUUUAUAGAGGUUUAUGCAAUUUAAAAUUCUCCUGCUCAGUGUUCCAUUUUUCUAGCACGUACAAGAGAGGAUUGCAGUGCACAUCAUAGAGGUGAUCAUUGCAUUUGUGAGACUCAGUUAUAACCACAUUUCCUUUACCUCUUCUUGAUUGGUCCCUUUGACUUGCUAAGUUUAGCUUCGUGUUUCUUCUGUGCUUCAGUACUAUAAAUAUCCCUACUGCUAAAUUGCUCUAUUUUCUAAAAUCACAUCUAGAUAGAUCCUUUCUCUUGGCACUAUCAACAUUCUCUGCAUCCGGCGUCCUCCUGGCCGAGUUUCUGAACUCUACCUGCUUACAAGGAAUUACUGAAGCUGCAGCUCGUGGUGAAUUGUCUGUUCAUGGUGCAAGGAAGUCACACCUAACUGUGUACAGUUAUAGAGAGACACAUGCAUACAUUUACACAUAUUAAGUACAAAGAUGUAAAACAUAAUAUCUGCAGAAUUCUGAAUCCUUAGAAUAAUUCAUAGUUUCGCUACAUUCCUCAGUAUUAUUAAUUCAGCUGCAGGGAGAUAGGAUGGUGGUAAAGUUAGAUUUUCUUCUUCAGAAUUCUUCUUUAACAUAUUAUUUUUACAUGAUAUAUGAGUAAUGUGAAAAGCCCAUCAGGACUCAUCAGAAAAGUGCCAAACCCCGACUUCCCUUCUGUUUUAUUCAAUAGAACUCUAGCUUUAGAACUAAUGAGUAUGAUCUUGCCCUGGUAAUAAAAUGUAAAACCACCACAAAUGCUGUUUGGAGGUGUGUUUGAGAUACUAUGUCGUUUUCACUGAAAAUUAAAAGGAACAAAAGCAUAUAAAUGUUUUAGGUCUGUGAAUUAAGGUCAAUUUGUGCUUUGCAUUAAAUAUAUAUAUCAAUAUUUUCUAAGAUGUCAGAAGAGGAAGGGUCACGUUCACUGCGAGACCAAAUGAAGCACAAUUACCAUCUCCAUUCUCAUUGCAAGGUUUAUAAUUCAUGCUUUAUUUAAAUUCCAGUUUGCUUAAAAAUAAAACUGUAAGAUCUUUGAUGUUAUUCCUUAGAAAAACUGCCUUCCUGAUGUCUCCAUUAGACAUCACGUGAACUUUUUAAAUCUCCAGAUUGAGAAUACAUUUGAAGAUAAAUUUUGACAGCCAUCAGCAUUUGCAUUAGGACAAGAACAUACCCUGGAAUUUUCAAGAUAAUUCAAUUUUAGAUUCAAUUUGUGCUUCAGAAACUAGCAUUUAUCAGUUCUACCAAAUUAAAAUUCAGGUCUGAAAAUAAAAUGAAGCCAGAAAGCAAAAACGAUUUGCUGCAAUUUGUGAAUCAGGUUCACCUCCCAUUUACCCUGAACUUUGAGAUUUAUUUAUUCCAAAUAAGUCUUUCACUGUUUAAAAAUCUCAGAUGGAGAGGUAGUUUUCAAAUUUGCUUUCUGACAGGCGUACGGACGUGUAAGUCAUUCCCUUCUCUGUUCUAGUCCCUACAAAGCACUUCCUUCACUGGCCUUGUUGGUUCUGGGAAAACUGAAUGGGAUGAGCAGAGUUUGGCUGUGUUACACGUUUUACUUUUAUUUUCAAAUGCCAGUCAAGUUUUCUGAAUCCAUGUCCUGCUGAAAGAAAUAAUAUUCCUGAAGCUAAAAGAUGAGGAGAAAAAUUAAAAUAUCUGGGCAGCAGAUUUACCUACUCGUGAAAGUCUUGGCAAAUACACAAUAAAAGUUUGUUUACAUGGUAAUUAAAACAUAACAUAGUCUUAAACAACAAUGAAAUAAUUGGCCUUUUGUUUAAAAAUUUGUAUCAGCUUUGUUUGGAUCUGUAAAUAAAGCCUUGGUGCAGUGGAACUGG
Molecule: long non-coding RNA, 4612 nt
Organism: Hirundo rustica (Barn swallow)
Lineage: Eukaryota; Metazoa; Chordata; Aves; Passeriformes; Hirundinidae
Exons: 3
Source: RefSeq, a predicted model, not a curated record